AGCGAACGCUGGCGGCAGGCUUAACACAUGCAAGUCGAACGGUAGCACACUACGUGUUUGCUCUUACGGGUGGCGAGACGCGGAAGGAAGACGAGUACAACCGACUCUCCUCUUUCGUGGGGGACCACGUAGGGAAACCUAAGACAAUACCGCAUAUGACCUUCGGGUGGAAGCAGGGGAUAUUCGGACCUCGCGCGAUUGAUUGAGCCGCUGUCGUAUUAGCUAGUUGGCGGGUUAAAGGCCCACCAAGGCGACGAUCCGUAGCUGGUCUGAGAGGAGGAUCAGCCACACUGGAACUGAGACACGGUCCAGACUCCUACGGGAGGCAGCAGUGGGGAAUAUUGGACAAUGGGCGCAAGCCUGAUCCAGCCAUACCGCGUGGGUGAAGAAGGCCUUCGGGUUGUAAAGCCCUUUUGUUGGGAAAGAAAAGCAGCAGGUUAAUACCCCGCUGUUCUGACGGUACCCAAAGAAUAAGCACCGGCUAACUUCGUG
This 492-nucleotide ribosomal RNA is filed under the name uncultured bacterium. RNAcentral's name for it is "partial 16S ribosomal RNA". It matches the Rfam family "Bacterial small subunit ribosomal RNA", at positions 29 to 507 of the family's 1533-position model. The record is from RNAcentral.